UCGUGCUUGACCUCGACGGCAUCCCCUGCAUCCCCACGGCCAUCGUGACUUUGCUUAGCGUGAGGUGGUUACAGGCUUGCGUCGUUCUGUAAUGGGAUGGGUGUAGGCUGGGCACCGUACAUUCCGUGCCUGUUCUGUUUUUGGUAUUGUUUUUGCCUAGGAGUGGUUUCAGAUAUUUUUAAAAGCCCAGUGCCUAUUAUGCCAUUCUACAGUAUUGACGAGCGCGCAUUGCAUGGUUAAUUGGAAAAGGGGUUUCCCUUUAUUCCCUUGCGGCUGGAAGUGGCGGACCUAGAAAUAAAAUGAUAGGUGUGCACCGGAAAUUGCCUUUGGCUCCCGAGCUUCAUGAAGGUCUUUAAAUUCAAACUCUAAAUUUUGUGCAAAUUCGUAUUUUAAUAUUUCAAAAACUCUGAUAAAGAAAUACAUAGAUAGAUGAAGGUAUAAUGCACAAGUGUGUAAAUUUUUAGAAUAAAGCUGUGCAAAAAAAGACAAAUCUGAAACUUUUAAUUACAUGUUACUACUCAUCAUUUCAGACCAUGAAUAUGUCUUUUUUUACAGGUCGCGUUUCAAAGUAUUUCGACCUGAAAUUUUACACGCAUACGGAUCACAUCCUUGUUUAGUUGUAUAUUUUUUCAGAUAUUUUGGAACUAAAAUUUUUAAAUUUUAAUUUUUUCAAAAAUUUCAGCCUCUAUGGCUUCCGGGAGCCAAACGUCUGUUCUCAGUGUGCACCCUUCACAAAAAAGUGAGAUGUAUUUUCCUUGGCUUAGAUGGGUCUUAAAAAUCAGUUAAUUAUUACAUGGUAAAAAAAUAUUCUUUAAAAUUCUGGGUGUGUCAUGGCACACCUGGCACACCCCCUAGAUAUGCCACUGGCUGGAACCGUAGCCGCCAUGAGGAGAGGAUAAUCUUCGAGCGCUGUCCAUCGACGGUUUUCCUCCGCCGGCGAUCUCGGUCGCCGGUGGUAAGGAGGGUCGCCGGAUUCACGUGUGUGGAUUGUUUUUAGUUUUUGUAGUCUAGAUUUUUAGGUUGUUCAUCGUCUUGGCUUCGGCACAGGCGAUGGUGACGCUGAAUAAUGAUUAAUCGGAUCCUUUUCUGAUAAGGUUAUCGGUCCUAUGAUUGGGGAUAGAUUUAGAAACUAGUCUGUUCUAGCAAGGAUGGCGUAGCGGCGGCGGCAUCUUCGUGGUGGACCUGUGUCCUCGGGCUCCGUCGUUGCGAUGGUGUUUGCUCCAGCGUCGGCGCGGAGCUUGGGAGGUAGUCCACGAGCGGAUGCAGAUUGUGGUCUGCAUCGACGACAUCUGAAAGACGAAACGUGUGCUAGGUUCGUGGAUGGCAGGUAUGGUUUCCUACUUCGACGUCUUAGUCGUGGUGGGGUGCUAGACCUAGAGUUCGAUGGCGUGUCCAGGGUGUUGUCCCGAUCUGAUUCGUUCAAUGACAAGGGCUUCACUUUUGGUGAGCCAUCUUGGAGGUGCGCAACGAUGGAGCCGCGCCGAGCUCGGGUGAGAAGGUUAUUCAUCAUUCUUUUUAUUCAAUGGCUGAUGUGGUGGUGCCAGAGGCAGGUGAUGGACGUUGAUGUCAAACUCGCAGAUGUUCUUCUAUCUUUUCAGUUUUGUCAUGUCGAUCUUUAUGUGACUUGUAUUUUAAUUUUUAUGAUAUGAACGAGACACAUAUUACCAAGAAAAAAAUUGGAAAACGUUUCCCGACGGAUGACCGUCGCCCCUGCUCGCUCGCCUUUGAAGCAGAAGCAAAGUGGGUUAGAUGUGUUGCAUGGGCCUCAAACCUUGCGUGGGGCGCCUAUGUUUGCAUUUUUACUUCAUUGCACAAAACGGCAUUGGAAAAUUUUUGCUAUAGCUGGUGUCACGCCGUGCUACAACCAGUCUUUCGAAAUGCUGCAUAGGCUAGGAUAGUAUUGGGCAAGGACGAAUGGCGGCUGUCAUGUGUUUUGCUGCAUUGUUUUUUUGUUAUAACCAACAACCAUUUUUGCUACAACCAUGUUGUUUUUUGUUGCAAUCAUGCUAGCUUUUGCUACAACUGGUGUAGCAAUUUUCUGGAACCGGGGUAGCAAUUUGCUGGAACCGGCGUCUCAUUCUGCUACAAGACAUAGCCGUCGUCGAUUUUUUGCUACAACCAUGUUAGCUUUUGCUACAAUCGGCACUUCGUUUUGCUACAACGCAUCACCGACGUUGACAGAGGAUGAUGACGCUGCUCCGAUCAACACUUCCCUACUAUAAGCACCGUUUGUGAUACUACAAUCUGCAUCUCAUUUUGCUACAACCACGUCGGGUUUUUGUUACAACGCAUCGCCGGUGUCGAUUUCUUGCUACAACGACGUCCGCUUUUUGUUACAAUCCACAUUUUGUUUUGCUAUCACGCACCAUCAGCCUCGUUAUUUUGCUACAACCACGUUGAUAUUUUUGCUGCAUCUGUGGCCGAAUUUUGGUACAAUCGCAACUUGUUUUGCUAUCAUCAACGAUUUUUUGCUACAUGGUUCGACCUGACGGUCUAACAUAGUUCGAUCUGGCGGCUCAUGUAUGACCGACCCAUAGUUUCGGCUGGAGCGCCGGCGCCUAGCACUCCCCUUGUUAAUUUUUCAUACUCGCAUUGUGUGAAACGUCGGUUGCCAUUCGCAUUGAUCAUGUUAGAUGUAAAAAA
RNAcentral lists this long non-coding RNA (2643 nucleotides) under Hordeum vulgare. RNAcentral's name for it is "long non-coding RNA (HVUL_LNC003532)". The record is from RNAcentral. Lineage: Eukaryota; Viridiplantae; Streptophyta; Magnoliopsida; Poales; Poaceae.